GCUAGGCCGGCACUGCCUAGGUGGGCCGGGCGGUGCGAGGGUCGCCUUUCAGCCUUUACCUCUACCCACUGAAAUGGAGUAGGUCGGUGAGCGCCGAUCUGCUGGAGAAUCUCAUUAUCCCAUCGGCGCUCUGCCUGCUCCUGGCCUCCAAGCCUCUGAAGCCCCUCGGGUUUCAGCUGCCGGCUACCCUCGAGCCCGUGGUGCCCACGAGAGAGGCGACUUUACGUCAGCGGCCCUGGGCUGAGAUUUGAGAACGCGACCAAGUGGAGAAUGUUGGAGCCAGAUUUUAAAAUCCUUGUCUUCCUUCUGCGUGCUACUUGAUCUAAAUGAGAUACGGCAAAGUCACAGAACCUGUUUUUAUGUUUUUGCCUGAUUCAUACGGGCUUCUCCGGUGAAGAUGGGCCUGAAGUAACGCUUGGGUUGCUUCUGACGUUAUAACUCAUCCUGUAGCUGCAGCAACCGUGGUCCUUGCAACCUCAUAAAAAUGUUGCCAGCAUUGUUUCGAUAGUGCUGCUUAAUUCUUGGAAGGUUCUUCGGACUUCACACAUUCCAGCAGUAGCUCUCUCAGCUCCUGUCCUGCACAGCUUUGAAGUGCUGGUGAUGUCAUUGAACUCUUAAGUGCAAGAUGAAACAAGUCUUUCUGGGGUUCUAAGUAGAAAUGCAUAUGUAUCUUUGGAAGAAACUCUGAAGUAAAGGCCGGAAUAUUCUUUGUUUAAAACAUUAAAAACAAAACAGACCAAAGCAUCAAGCAAGAAGUUUCCUGGCAAUAAACUAAGCACAGCAUUAUUUUUUAAGGAACACAAAUUAAGUGUUCAACCUGUGGCAAAUUUGUACUUUCUCCCUGAAUUAUGUUGUUAUCAAAGAAAAAAAUUGGGAAGCAUGGCAAAAUAUCAUCAAAACUGAAACUAGAAUUAAACAAAACUAAAUUAAAAUGAAAUAAAAUGAUGUCCAUUCUUAAUUCAUCCUCACAACUGGGCCACUAGUUUUAUGCAUCUUGGCAGCCAAUAUUUUUGUC
RNAcentral lists this long non-coding RNA (1015 nucleotides) under Homo sapiens (human). RNAcentral's name for it is "HSALNT0332368". The stretch from base 670 to 909 matches the Rfam family "Highly up-regulated in liver cancer conserved region". Lineage: Eukaryota; Metazoa; Chordata; Mammalia; Primates; Hominidae. The record is from RNAcentral.